Myotis daubentonii (Daubenton's bat) is the source of this 3193-nucleotide long non-coding RNA. RefSeq lists it as uncharacterized. The record is from RefSeq and is a predicted model, not a curated record. Lineage: Eukaryota; Metazoa; Chordata; Mammalia; Chiroptera; Vespertilionidae. The transcript has 3 exons.
CCCGCGGCGCCAACGCAGGCACGUCGCUCCCUCCGGCCCCGCCCCUCCCGCGUGCGCGCGCCGCCGGCCGCCCCGCCCCCGGCCCGCUGAGCUCCGAGCAGGACCUGGCCGGAGGCGAGGGCGCGCCCCGGACGGUGACUCCAGGUUUGUUGCGUGCCCAGUGCCUCCUCCAACUGUUUGUCUGAGAGUCUAACCCUGCAAUUACUGGAGUCGGCCGAAUCUCCCUCCCGCCCUGAUCUGUAAAGUGAAGGCAUGGAGAAAAGCAUUCCUCUUAAAGGCAAAGGAGAGAGGAGCAGUGACUCUGUAUGAAGAACCAGGUUUUAUUGCUGAUAUCUGGGGACAGAAUGUUUCAGGCCUGGCUAGCCAUCAACAUCUGCUGGACUACUGUGAUCAAGACCGGUGAAAAGGAGAACUGGAACUGCUGCUACCUGAAUGUGUCGUGACCUGGUUGAACUUUUUUUUAUAGAGAAGCAGCCAAUAGUGACCCAGUGAUACUCUUCACUGGCCAAACCACAUCUGGGGUUCUUUGUUCAGUUCUAGAUUGAGCACUUUAAGAAGACAUCAAAGAAGUUGGAAUUAUUUCAGAGGAGAGCAAAAUGAUGGAGAGAACUCAAAAGUACCACCAAUGAAGAAGUAGUGAUUGAACUUGGAAGGAUUUUUAUAGAAAGGAAAAAGCUACUGGGACUAUCUCCAAAUAAGUAAAGACUCAUCAGAGGACAGAUUUGUUUCAUGUGGUCUUAGGAAGUGCACACUUAAGAGAAACAGAUUUCAGAUUUGAAAAGAAGAUUUCCUUCUAACACUAGCCAGAAAAGUUGUGGCUUAGGGUGGGUGGAAGCCCUGACCAUUGGAUUUUACUUUAAGUAGAUUCCUAUGGUUUUUAAAGAGGAAUGGGUACAGAGAAGCCAUGCAUCAAGAGAAGAAUUAGUUGACGGUUUUUUUUAAAGCCAUUUCCAACCUUGAGGUUCAAUUAGUCUAUAGUUUCAGCCUUAAAAAGAAUUUACAGGUUAGCUAUGAGACAAGACAAAUGCAUCAAAAGGUAAAUAAUGAAAGGAGGCCAUAUGAUAAUGAGCAGUACUAACAAUAAAUGCUAGUACAUUUAUUGUUCUCAUUACAAUUUCAGAGGCUUAAGGGAGAAGGAGGAAAUGAAAAUAGACUGUGUCUAGAACUGCCCUGUCCAGUAAAGUAGCCACUAGCCAAAUAUGGCUAUUUACACUUGAAAUGUGGCUAAUCUGAAUGGAGACAUGCAGUAAAUCUAAAAUACACACCAGAUUUUGAAGACUUAGUUCAAAAAAAUGUAAAAUACCUUUUUUUUUCUUGUCCCUCCUCUACCCCACAUCUCCCCGUUCAAAAUGUAAAAUAUCUUAAUACUUAUGCUGACUACAUGUUAAAAUAAUGGCAUAUAUUGGGUCAAUAUAUUAAAAUUAAUUUCACCUGUUUUUUUUUUUAAUGUGCUUACUAGAAAAUCUUAACCCUACCAGACCGCUGUACCAAUUUUUCGGUAAUUUCGGUGGAUUGGCACACAAAGGUGGAAUAUUGGCACUAGAUGAAAGGUAGACCUAUUUUCUACAAUGUCUCCAAGUUCCAUCUUAUUCUAACCACUUGUUUGCAUGUAACUAACAUUUUUCAAUAUCAUGUUGGGUUUUUCUCUUUAAUGCUCAGGAGCCCAGGUAUAGGGGACAGUUAGGUUCAGGGCCUCAGGUCUGGUAGACUUAAUAUAUGGCUUGAAUCUUAUUUCUAUUAGAUAGUUCUGGCCAAAAAAAUAUACUUCAUUGAAUUUCUCAAAACUAUCUAUAAAGGAGAGUGAACUGGAAGACAUUCUAUCUACUAAAAACAGAAGAAAACCAUAUCAAUGACCAAUUCUUUUUAUACAUAUACUAGAGCCCUGGUGCACAAAAUUCAUGCACAGGGGUUAGGGGGUCCGUCAGCCCGGCCUUCAUCGACGCCAGCAUCCCUCAUCCCGGCCUCUGGCCCGAGGCUCCUCCCCUCCCUCCACAUGGCCAGGUCAGGGACCUUCCCCUGCCUCCACGUGGCUGGGGCGCAGACGCUGGGCUCACAUUGCUGGGGCGACACCACCAGCGACCCACCCUGGACCACUAUGGGUGCUUUCCAUCUUUGUUGUGGAGUGACGGUUAAUUUGCAUAUUUCUCUUUUAUUAGAUGGGAUGAACAUAAAAAGAAUCAACAGGCAAAUCAGGGUAAUCACCACUAUGAAAAAGACAAAGAAAGGCAGGUAGAAAAACUAACUCUAAAGGAAUCAAGUAUAAUUCCCGAGAUAAAAGGACAUUUCUAAAAAGCACUCCAAUUUGUAAUUCUCCAGUAUUAAAAAUAUAUUACAUCAGGGUACUUUGAAAAAAGAACAACCAUAGAAUGAAAUAGAGUUCUGAAACACUUAUAAAACAUCAUUACUUAAGUAAAACCAAAGAAAUCUAGAACAUAGCAUACAUAAACAUAAAAGAAAAUUUGAGAAAAGAUUCAUGGAGAGCCAAUUCAGCAGACUUAACAUUCAACUAGUGGAAGAGUUUAAAAAAGAAAAAUUGAGAAAAAUAUUUUUAAUUAUACGUUUAAUUAUAGGAGGCCUUUUUUAGGAUAUAGAAGAAAAGUUUUCAAGUUUAGUAGACUAUAGGGUACCAGAAAAUAGAUUUAAAAAGACUCAUACUCAUUAUGCUAAGUGAUUUCACUCAUAUGUGGAAUCUAAUGAACAAAAUUAAUGAAUAAGCAAAAUCCAGAUAGGUUGACAGCUGUCAGGGGUGUUUUGUCAGGAGUUCUAUUACUAUGGGAGAUGAAGAGAUAUUUGGAGACAAGUUUUUUUUAUCCAGGAUGCUUUUUUCUUGCUCAAUUAAAGCAAAUUUACUGGUAUUAAAAACCUAAGGAGAGCCUCUCUUCAUUUCUUAUCAGAAUGAGUGAAAUAUCAAGAAUAAUUUUCUCUCUUUCAAGCACAUAAGAGAGCUUGAAAAUAAGAGAGUAAAAAAAUGGCAACAUAAAAUCUUGGAUAUUAAUUAUUUUAAGGAUUAAUUUUUCCUGAAGUUUAGAGUGUUCUUAACCAUGUUUAAUACAGUCAAAUUGAAUAUUUCAGUCACUCUUCCCACAAUAAUUAAGCAUAUAUCACAUAACCCACACUUUGCUAUGCAUUGUGGAACUUUAAAAAAAAUAUAUGAUCUCUAGUCUCAAGGAACUUAGAGGAACUUACAAUUUGG